This 402-nucleotide ribosomal RNA is filed under the name uncultured prokaryote. RNAcentral describes it as "bacterial SSU rRNA". It matches the Rfam family "Bacterial small subunit ribosomal RNA", at positions 355 to 774 of the family's 1533-position model. RNAcentral also lists the same sequence under 1 other name. The record is from RNAcentral.
UAGGGAAUCUUGCGCAAUGGGCGAAAGCCUGACGCAGCCAUGCCGCGUGAAUGAUGAAGGUCUUAGGAUUGUAAAAUUCUUUCACCGGGGACGAUAAUGACGGUACCCGGAGAAGAAGCCCCGGCUAACUUCGUGCCAGCAGCCGCGGUAAUACGAAGGGGGCUAGCGUUGCUCGGAAUUACUGGGCGUAAAGGGCGCGUAGGCGGAUAGUUUAGUCAGAGGUGAAAGCCCAGGGCUCAACCUUGGAAUUGCCUUUGAUACUGGCUAUCUUGAGUAUGGAAGAGGUAUGUGGAACUCCGAGUGUAGAGGUGAAAUUCGUAGAUAUUCGGAAGAACACCAGUGGCGAAGGCGACAUACUGGUCCAUUACUGACGCUGAGGCGCGAAAGCGUGGGGAGCAAACA